Molecule: long non-coding RNA, 1219 nt
Organism: Armigeres subalbatus
Lineage: Eukaryota; Metazoa; Arthropoda; Insecta; Diptera; Culicidae
Exons: 2
Source: RefSeq, a predicted model, not a curated record
GUGCAUUGUGGCGUCAAAUUGUUGAUUCAGUGUUAUCUGUUUAGAUGUUAACUAAAUAAAUGAAUGAACGAUUUGCUUCACUGGCAAAGUUAGGAUUGGUCACGGCUUGACAUCAAUUCUACCUUGACCAACAAAUCUAAAAGUUUUGGAUUUAAUUUUAUCAAUAAUGGUUCAUUAAUUAAAAUUAUUAAUUUUUCAUUUAAAUAUUAUUUAUUUUUGAUUUAGUUAUUUUGGUUUUUGGUCUUUAGCACAUUCCCAUAGUUCGGACGGAACAGCAUUUCUUUUUCUCGGCGGUUUUGUUAUGAUUUCGCAUCCUUCGAUUUGCUUCGAUUGUGAUAAAAGAAAUCUCAUCGCGAUCGCGAGUGUUCAACCGUUGCUACCCGCGAAAAAAGUGGAAGCCGCUAUAUUGCAAAUUGGUCACUAGGCCGAUCGUUCCUGUGGACAAGUGUCCUUGAACCGUUUCUGGGAGCAGUACGUACAACAGGAACGAAUAAAUCGCUUGUUGGUCGGCGUAGAUGGCAUAAAAGAUCAACCUUUUUCCUGUCCCAGAUUGGCGCAGACGAGCUGCAAAGGACCGAGGGCCGCCAUGACCAACCCGCAGGUGAAACGUUACGCAUUUGAAGUGGGACUGGAUACGUUCGAUAAAUAUAUGGUCUAUGCGGAAAGUCCAGUGUCGAUUAACAAACUCCGUAGGAUGUUUUGGAUGUGCCCAAAUUGGCCUCUUGACGAUGCGCUGGUCCUCUGGAGGAAGGGGUUUUCCGCUGUCAGUACAGCAUACGAAACCUUCGGUGGAUUUUAGUUUAAUCGAAACAAGCGAAGAUGGAAAUAGAGUGAUCAUCCGACGUUCAAAUGAAGCUCCGUAGGAUGUUUUGGAUGUGCUCAUAUUGCCCUCUUGACGAUGCGCUUUAGGAACGAGCAUCAGCAGCAAAUGCUGUCUACUUCUAGUUGGUCUACUUCGUUCGUAGUUGUUUCCAGCAUCCUUGAGCCAAUUGUUUUGGCUAAAUUGAACGAAUGUCGCUGAAUAUAGCUAACCGACAGGAUGAUUAUUCUGCAAUGCCAACAGAUUGCUACGAUGCACACCAUCACCAUGGCCACCGGCUGGAUCCUGGGCUGAACUAGAAAAAAGGCCACCGUGCUGCUAGAGGUGCUGCUGCUUGCAUCUUCGGUGUAGAAAAAAUCCAAAAAUAAUGCAAUAAAAAGUAUAAGUUUAUUAUUGCGA